CAUUUUUCUGCAUCACUUUGAGACGGGAAGUUCCUGAUUUUUGCCCAACACAGUGUAUUAUUCACAUGUAAUUCAACAAAAGUAAGACCUCUCGUAUCUCAUACCCAUCCCACUUAAAAUAAAGGCAACAGAACAUCUGACCUUAGAAUGGUUUGCAAACAAGCUUAUUUACAAUUUCAGCAACUUUGGUCAGAGAUGCUGUACCAGCUUCAUUUGACAAGAACUACCACCUUCUAGCCCUGAAAAACCACGGCGGCCUAGUAAUUCCAUCACAAGGCACAAGGUGCUGAGAGCUGCAGAGAGGGUGAUCCAACAACACAAGCUCCUGAGGCGUCGACAGUCACACACAUCGUCCGAGAGGAGAUUGGAGCGGAUGAUGUUUUUUUGCUUGGGGAACACAUGAAGAGACACAGUUUGGCAUCGACAACCAUCAUUCAGACUUGUUGUCAUUGGUUGUGUCUGUGUUUCUCAAGCUAAGGCUGCGCCACAUUGCCAAACUCACCACUCUGGAACUGCAAAAAGGAGCACGAGAAAGAAGCUCUGCAGGACAGUCCUAUUCCAGGGGUUUUAGUGUGUGUGUGUGUGUGUGUGUGUGUGUUAGACCCUCCUUUGGUGCAAACACCCGGCGUUCUGUUGAAGUUAUUUGUGUGCGUGUGUGUGUCCUUGCAAAUAUUCAAUUCAUUUCAUUCAACAUAUUAAAUGUCUGACUUUACUACUAC
Non-coding RNA from Gasterosteus aculeatus aculeatus (three-spined stickleback), 719 nucleotides. The record is from RefSeq and is a predicted model, not a curated record. NCBI's taxonomy places the organism in Eukaryota, Metazoa, Chordata, Actinopteri, Perciformes, Gasterosteidae.